UUUCAAAAGAGGUAUAGACAAACAUUUUAAGUAACAUUUCAAAAGAGGUAUAGACAAACAUUUUAAGUAACAUUUCAAAAGAGGUAUAGACAAACAUUUUAAGUAACAUUUCAAAAGAGGUAUACACAAGUUUACGCGCUGUAUCCCGGGUGGCGCCAUAACUCUACACAAAUGCAUUUCAUUUCCGCCGGAAGUUGUUGGCACAACGUCUGCCGGUGUAAACACAGCGAUGUCGACGCUAGCUUGGGAACACGGUUCUACUACUAUGCCGCAACCCGUCAAGGAGCGGAGGGGGAGGAACUUGCAAGGGACUAUUUGGAAACUCUGGGCAACAGCAUUGAAACCAAAGGCUUAGUGGUGUGCGAAAAGGAACCGUGGCUUGCAGCAUCUCCCGAUGGAGUGAUAAACAACGACAUUCUGUUGGAGAUCAAAUCACCUGUGAUGGGAAACAAGUCACUUGCAGAAUUUUUGGCAACAAAGAACUGCGAAAUCACAACUGUGGCAAACGGAGAUAGGGUAGAUUACCAUAUUGCCUGCAAUGGUCCAAAAGGCUACUACAUGCAGGUACAAAUUGGGAUGCACUGCACAGGGCUUCAGCACUCCAAGUUGGUGAUCUGGAACAAAACUGAGCACCUAGAAAUCGAAGUACCCUACGACCAAGGCUUUGUCCAGGGGCAUAUCAUAAGGCUGCGCACAUUCUACUUUGCCCACAUGCUCCCGAAAAUUGUUGAUGAUUUUGUUGAGGGAAGGUUACAGUUCUGCAGUAAAUAUCUCAGCAUUUUAAAACCAAAAUAAACUGCCUUAUUUAGGUCAUGCCCACAGGAGCCAAUAGAUGUCAAUUGUUUACAUGAUCUCUUUAUGCUGUGCAAUAUAUCAGUGUGCCUACUGUUUGAGUGAAAAUAAAGUUUGAUGUAAUUUCAA
This is a long non-coding RNA of Coregonus clupeaformis (lake whitefish), 921 nucleotides long. RefSeq lists it as uncharacterized. The transcript is spliced from 2 exons. The record is from RefSeq and is a predicted model, not a curated record. Lineage: Eukaryota; Metazoa; Chordata; Actinopteri; Salmoniformes; Salmonidae.